AACGCGAAAACCUUACCAGCCCUUGGCAUUUGGCGCUAUAUCGGGAGACCGAUAGUUCCCUUCGGGGACGUCAGGACAGGUGCUGCAUGGCUGUCGUCAGCUCGUGUCGUGAGAUGUUGGGUUAAGUCCCGCAACGAGCGCAACCCUCGCCCUUAGUUGCCAUCAUUCAGUUGGGCACUCUAGGGGGACUGCUGGUGAUAAGCCGGAGGAAGGUGGGGAUGACGUCAAGUCCUCAUGGCCCUUACGGGCUGGGCUACACACGUGCUACAAUGGCGGUGACAGUGGGCAGCGACCUCGCGAGGGGAAGCUAAUCUCCAAAAGCCGUCUCAGUUCGGAUUGUUCUCUGCAACUCGAGAGCAUGAAGUUGGAAUCGCUAGUAAUCGCGUAACAGCAUGACGCGGUGAAUACGUUCCCGGGUCUUGUACACACGCA
This 432-nucleotide ribosomal RNA is filed under the name uncultured Pseudovibrio sp. RNAcentral describes it as "bacterial SSU rRNA". It matches the Rfam family "Bacterial small subunit ribosomal RNA", at positions 958 to 1394 of the family's 1533-position model. Lineage: Bacteria; Pseudomonadati; Pseudomonadota; Alphaproteobacteria; Hyphomicrobiales; Stappiaceae. The record is from RNAcentral.